AGGAAGAAAAAAGACAUGAAAUGUGAAGAGGAAUGCUGAAGAAAGAUGGAUCACAAAGAUUAGUGCUUGCUUGCAGAAUGUUAUUUCAGAAGUGACAAAAGGACAGGAUAGCAGGAUUAAUGAAGAGCUUAAUGAUCUCCUGCUGGGAUGAUGAGUCCAGGAAGUAGCUGCUGUAAAAGGAGAUUUUCUGGUACCAGCUGAGGAGCAUUUGUGGAGGAGCCAUGGAAGAUUAUGGUCUUUUCAGAGAGAGGAGGUGUAUGGACUGAUUCAGAUUUCUUCUGAAGGCAAGCAGUGACAAGGAAGUCAGAAGUUAAGGUAUCCUAGAUUUCUGUAUAACCAAGAGUUAUCUGUAACUUCCUGCCUCACCCCAGGACACUGGGACAGAAGAGUUAUUCAAAGCAGUAUGCCAGAGGUGACCUAGGGCCCACUGUGUCUCCUUCAGGUAGUGAUAUUCCCAGAUAUUCCUCAAACCAGGGUACAGAGUCUCCUACUGGUGGGAUCAUGGAUUUAUACCUAUCUGAUGGUUUUGGAUGUGACCAGCAGCUGCAAAUCUCAAGAAGAUAUAUGGUGCAUCUUUUGCAAAGAUCAGCAAACCCCUGGGGAAAACCCCUUUGAAGAGAGGAUGGCUACAGGAGGACUAAAAGAAGGCUUGAGGAGAGCUUCAAAGGAG
RNAcentral lists this long non-coding RNA (670 nucleotides) under Parus major (Great Tit). RNAcentral's name for it is "lncRNA (ENSPMJG00000010885.1)". Lineage: Eukaryota; Metazoa; Chordata; Aves; Passeriformes; Paridae. The record is from RNAcentral.